Long non-coding RNA from Zingiber officinale, 584 nucleotides. RefSeq lists it as uncharacterized. The record is from RefSeq and is a predicted model, not a curated record. Lineage: Eukaryota; Viridiplantae; Streptophyta; Magnoliopsida; Zingiberales; Zingiberaceae. The transcript has 2 exons.
UUUUCUUUUCCUUUCUUUUCCUGUUGUGAUUUUUUAAUUUUCUUUUGGUUUUCUUUCCUUCGUCGCCUCUGCCGCCGACCCUCCGUCACUACUGCUGGGUGAGACAAGAUUGCUCCAGCCGCUAGACGCCAACCCGCGUUGUGACUAGGACUGCCCUAGCCGCUAGACGCCUCUCGCUGCCACCGGGUGAGACCCGACGCUAGAAGCCAACGUGACUAAGACUGCCCCAGGCAACAAACGCCCCUCGUCGCAAACUAGGUUUUCCUCUCAAAUGUCAUCGUUCAUCGCUGUCUAUCACCGUCGUCCUUCAUCGAGAGCAACCAACAUACUAGGUUUUCCCCACGCCAUUGUCGCUGCCCAACUCUUUGUCCCUGAAUCAGGAUUUGCAUCUGGGUUGAGGACUUACACGUGAAAUCCUUGGUUUUUUUCCCUCUUUAAUUUGGAUUAAGCAUCAACUUCACUUUUAGUUGUAAUAUGGAAUUCCUUUGCAAACAUGUUUGGUGCCUAGAUUUAUCACUCAAACAUACUAAAAAGUGAUUCAUGAAUGCUCAUGUUUACAUAUAUAGAUUAAACAUUUUCUUCUA